Molecule: transfer RNA, 71 nt
Filed under: Loxodonta africana (African savanna elephant)
Lineage: Eukaryota; Metazoa; Chordata; Mammalia; Proboscidea; Elephantidae
Rfam family: tRNA
About the family: Transfer RNA (tRNA) molecules are approximately 80 nucleotides in length. Their secondary structure includes four short double-helical elements and three loops (D, anti-codon, and T loops).
Source: Rfam by way of RNAcentral
UCAGUGGUGGCUCAGUGGUAGAAUUCCUGUCUUCUAUGUAGGAGACCUGGGUUUGAUUCCUGGUCAAUGCA